Molecule: unclassified non-coding RNA, 279 nt
Filed under: Hevea brasiliensis (rubber tree)
Lineage: Eukaryota; Viridiplantae; Streptophyta; Magnoliopsida; Malpighiales; Euphorbiaceae
Source: RNAcentral
AUCACAUCCUUUUACGGCAUCGGGAAGGCGACCUUCAGGGGGUGGCUCAGGCUUGUCCUCUCUGCCAGGAUGGAACGGAAUCUCGGGUCCACCAGUAACUUCAACAGCAACGACUCCGGCGAGCUGGUAAAAGUCACCGUAUGAAAGGAUCGGCACCUGUUCUUUAAUCGGCUCCAACAGCCCAACAGCGAUGUCAAGGCCUCUGUUAGCCUCAUGAGCGAGUUCCGCUGCGUUCUUCAUUGUGCCAAAUGGACCUCCCGACUUACUCUUAACGUCAAA